GGUACCUGCGGCGUGCCUAACCAUGCAAGUCGAGCGAUCUCUUCGGAGAGAGCGGCGGACGGGUGAGUAACGCGUGGGUAACCUGCCCUGUACACACGGAUAACAUACCGAAAGGUAUACUAAUACGGGAUAACAUACGAAAGUCGCAUGGCUUUUGUAUCAAAGCUCCGGCGGUACAGGAUGGACCCGCGUCUGAUUAGCUAGUUGGUAAGGUAAUGGCUUACCAAGGCAACGAUCAGUAGCCGACCUGAGAGGGUGAUCGGCCACACUGGAACUGAGACACGGUCCACACUCCUACGGGAGGCAGCAGUGGGGAAUAUUGCACAAUGGGCGAAAGCCUGUUGCACCAACGCCGCGUGAGCGAUGAAAGCCUUCUGGUCGUAAAGCUCUGUCCUCAAGGAAGAUAAUGACAGUGCUUGUGGAGGAAACCCCGGCUAACUACGUGCCACCAGCCGCGGUAAUACAUAGGGGGCUAUCGUUAUCCCCAAUUACUGGGCGUAAAGGGUGCGUAUGUGGUUUUUUUAGUCUCAAAUGAAAGGCGCCG
RNAcentral lists this ribosomal RNA (544 nucleotides) under Clostridium sp. AL05-6. RNAcentral describes it as "bacterial SSU rRNA". It matches the Rfam family "Bacterial small subunit ribosomal RNA", at positions 30 to 606 of the family's 1533-position model. Lineage: Bacteria; Bacillati; Bacillota; Clostridia; Eubacteriales; Clostridiaceae. The record is from RNAcentral.